This 501-nucleotide ribosomal RNA is filed under the name uncultured bacterium. Its description in RNAcentral is "partial 16S ribosomal RNA". It matches the Rfam family "Bacterial small subunit ribosomal RNA", at positions 29 to 523 of the family's 1533-position model. The record is from RNAcentral.
AUUGAACGCUGGCGGCAUGCCUUACACAUGCAAGUCGAACGGCAGCACGGGUGCUUGCACCUGGUGGCGAGUGGCGAACGGGUGAGUAAUACAUCGGAACGUACCUUAUCGUGGGGGAUAACGCAGCGAAAGCUGUGCUAAUACCGCAUACGCCCUGAGGGGGAAAGCGGGGGAUCGCAAGACCUCGCGCGAUUAGAGCGGCCGAUGCCUGAUUAGCUUGUUGGUGGGGUAAAAGCCCACCAAGGCGACGAUCAGUAGCUGGUCUGAGAGGACGAUCAGCCACACUGGGACUGAGACACGGCCCAGACUCCUACGGGAGGCAGCAGUGGGUAAUUUUGGACAAUGGGGGCAACCCUGAUCCAGCAAUGCCGCGUGAGUGAAGAAGGCCUUCGGGUUGUAAAGCUCUUUUGUCAGGGAAGAAACACCGGCUCUAACACAGUCCGGGAAUGACGGUACCUGAAGAAUAAGCACCGGCUAACUACGUGCCAGCAGCCGCCGCCG